GUUCCAGUAGCCUAGUGGUUAAGGCAUCCGCCUCGGAUGCAGGAGGUCGCUGGUACGAGCCGAAUCAAACCAAAAACU
Non-coding RNA from Potamilus streckersoni, 78 nucleotides. NCBI's taxonomy places the organism in Eukaryota, Metazoa, Mollusca, Bivalvia, Unionida, Unionidae. The record is from the annotation of a GenBank genome assembly.